GUUCUCCUUUAAGAGGCACACUUAGUAAAACUGGAACAACUCAGAGAAGAUUAACAUGGCUUCUGCCAUAUUAACCCAAAAGAAUGACCCAGAUGUAU
Molecule: small nuclear RNA, 98 nt
Filed under: Loxodonta africana (African savanna elephant)
Lineage: Eukaryota; Metazoa; Chordata; Mammalia; Proboscidea; Elephantidae
Source: RNAcentral